RNAcentral lists this transfer RNA (68 nucleotides) under Euphausia superba (Antarctic krill). Its description in RNAcentral is "tRNA-Ser". The record is from RNAcentral. Lineage: Eukaryota; Metazoa; Arthropoda; Malacostraca; Euphausiacea; Euphausiidae.
GGAAUAUAUAAGUAUUAAGGAGAAGCUUCUAACUUCUGCUAGAGCGGUUAAAUUCCGUUCAUGUUCCU